GGGAAAGGCUUCAUUACUAACCGGAUGAGAGAAUUUACAGACGAUAUGAUAAAAGCCAGAAAAAAUACAAAACCAGAACACUUGUUAUUACAGAAGAUCAAGAAGAUGACAUUAAUGAUGAUAAAGUAACACAUUUAAAAGUGAAAGCAAGCCAUACAGUUUCAACAGACAGAAAUUUCAAGGAUCUCUCUGAUGCCAUGGCAGCGACAUUUAAUAACAGACAGAAAUGGAUCAAGCAAGGCUCUCCGUCUCUGAGAGAGAUUCUUACAGAUUAUCCCAGAUAUGUUGAUACACCAGAUUUGAUUUCAAUAGAUUUUAAAAGAUUAUAUAUAUCCUGAUUGCUGUCAGACAUCUGUAGAUAUUGAAAAUGAAUGGGCCAAAAAAAUAAUAAAAUAUUGUCAAGCAAAUUGGCGUUGUCUUGAUGUAGGGAAUCUGGAUUUGGAGAUGCAAUAUGAUCCAAGUGAGUAGUUGACCUAUCUUUCAUGCAUUUUUGUUAUGAAGAGUAGCUAUUUGUAAUGAGCUCCCGGUGUUGACAGAGAAAG
Molecule: long non-coding RNA, 542 nt
Organism: Patella vulgata (common limpet)
Lineage: Eukaryota; Metazoa; Mollusca; Gastropoda; Patellidae
Exons: 3
Source: RefSeq, a predicted model, not a curated record